This is a long non-coding RNA of Osmia bicornis bicornis, 2890 nucleotides long. RefSeq lists it as uncharacterized. The record is from RefSeq and is a predicted model, not a curated record. The transcript has 3 exons. Lineage: Eukaryota; Metazoa; Arthropoda; Insecta; Hymenoptera; Megachilidae.
AUGUAGGAUAGGUUAAUCAAGUAUUAUUAUUUUCUUAACGCACGUGUAAGCUGUUUCAGGAUACAGCUACUGAAAACGAACAGGGAAUUUUGUCUUCGUAUUCAUUGCUGAUAUUAAUUACUGCAAAGUAAUUGAUUUUAUAAGCUGAAAAUAUUUCGAUAACAUUUUAAAAAGGCCGCUCUAGAAUGUUACUGUCAGCGCCAUCUAGUAAUAAAGCGGUGAACACUGUGAUGAAACAACUAUUAAGUCGGUAAAAUAUCGACUGCCCCGCGUCGGUAAGAUACCGGCUGUGCCACGUCGGUAAUGUACCAACAUAUCGUUGGCGAGUAUUUGAAAUCAAAGUUCUAACAAAAAAUCAUGAAAAUGGCGAUUAAAAUCUACUCAAUUUGAACAGGAAUAAAUGGCGCAUUCAAGUAAAGUCAUAUAUGAACAUUAGAAAAGGAAAGCUGGUAGUUGUGUAUUCCAUCAUUCCUCAAGAAAUGAAAAUUUAAGUAUUUAGUCAUUCUAUUAAAAUAUGCAAAUGAAAAACAGCAUCACUGAAAUAAGAAACAAUAGAUUUUAGGUAAUUUAUUGAAGAUUGAAAAGUACCAUGGAGAAUAGAGGAUGGCAAAUUUUCAAGGGCGCGAUUGCGAUGUACUAUUAUUGGCGAACCUGCUUCUUUUUAUCUGUAUUGUCUCCCACGAUAAAAUCUGGACCAACAACGUAUAUACCUGUCCCGUACAGAAGACCUUUCGCAGUAUUGAUCACUGCGGAAAGGAAAGGCACGUUGGGGGUGGCCGAUGAACACGUGGCAUCGCUCGAACUUCCAACUGAGGAUUUUUAGUCCUUCCAGGGAUGACAAAAAACAUGAUAAGACAGAGUUAAGAAAUUCUGAUGAAUGUUAUUCCAAAUGAAAUUGUUAUUACCAUUCAUUGAAAAUCUUUUUACUGAUACAUUGAAGUAUUGAUCCAGAAUGGUUGAAAUAUAACUUUGUUGAAUUUGGUAAUUCAAAACAACUUUAGAAUCAGAUAGAAUAAAACAUUAGUAUUUGUUUGCAAUUGUUUGCAAAUUACUAUGAUUUUGAAAGAUAAACUCAUUAUUCAGAUAAAUCAUUAUUCAUUCAUAAUAACUUGAUGUAGGUUUAUAUUAAUGUUAAUUAAUAUUUUGUUACUCUUCAGUUGCACUUGAAUUCUUCAGCAAACAGUCUGUCUAUUUUCUCUUCCUUCAAUCUGAAACAGUAUCAGUAAUAUUAUCACAGAUAGAUUUCUGCUUAUAUUCCAUGUAUUGAAAGAAAUGUUGAAAACUCUGAUGAGAUAAAUUUCAGGUAUCCAUCGGUUGAGGAGUGUUCAGGAUCAACGUUGCGCGUAGUCACAGGAGGAAGACGUUAUCGAAGGGGGCGGAGGUUGAAAAAGAGACACGAAGGGAGAGAACGCAAUCAGAGGGGUUGAUAAUACGAGGAAGCCGAUAGGAACCGACCCAAGAGCAGCGUAAUAGUGUUGGUAAGGCAGGAGCAGCGAACGUCUGCUCCUGACAGCCCAUUACCACUGUACAAACGCGAGCUCUCGGAGGAUGGCGAAGUUUCUCCUCCCUUCCACCCUCUCGUUCCAUCCCUUUCUGCGUCUGUUCUCCACCUCCGUCCUCGCAACCCUCCUCGUCCACUUCUACAACUUGCUCUUCUUGCGCGAAGAUGGUGGGAAACCACCUUGAACUACAUCACCAUCACCCAACGAUUACGUUCUACAUGGAAACUGGCUGUCUUCGUUGUUCUGUUAGCAUCCUGAUUGUAAUGAAACUUCAAAGCUUUUGAAAUUACUCGAUUAAACAGAGGGGGUUGUUUUGUGGAAGUUGGAGACCUUUUAAAGAAGCUUUGAGGUUUCAAGAUUUCUGUCUUCUUUUUCAAGUGAGCUAGAUCUUUGUAGAAUCUCUAUGAUAAUUUAACUUCUGGAAAUCUUUGGAAAUAAAGUAAUUUUAGAAAUGAAGAGUAGUUUUUGAGGACUUUUGUUAUUAUUAUAAAAGGAGAUAGUGUUCAUAGAUAUUCUACAAAUGUAUAAAAUAAUCGUUUAUAAGAAAUGGAAUCCGUGCGGAAUCAAUUUGACGUGUAUCCUCGGCGAAAGAGGAGAGGGUUGUCUAGCGGUUUUUCCAGGGUGGCGUCAAGACCACGCCUGCCACCUCGUAUAAGCCACGCCCGUGGAACGCAACCAACCCCCUCGGUAGGGUGUCUCGAGGGCCGAAGGGCUAAUAAUUCACGUCACGAGCACACCCCACCAUAAAGAGUCAGCUACAGCCGUGGCUCCUCGUAUAUUCCAUAUCAGCGUUGGUAUAUGAACGUUAUCCAGCUACGGUUACUGUUAAUUACCGAUCAUCUUCCGUAAUUAAUUGCCUUCGCAUUGGAGAAGCGGCUCCUCGAUCGACGCGGCCGGCUCUCCAGCCUGCUGGCUAUCGAUCCGCUGAGUUUGCUGCACGUUGCCGGGAACGUGCGAAUGAUUUUAGCGAGAAUCCUGUGUACAGAUAACCAGGCUUAAAGAAUAGUUAUUGGUACCUUGAUACACUAUAAGGGCCUUUAUAAUUUAUUUUAAGGGUUAUUAGGAUUCCAGGGUAUUCUGUGUUAAAGUAAAUUACCUGUUUUAUUUUAAAAGAAUUUUUGUAUUCUAUAUUUAGGGAAAUUAAUUGUUAAGGGAAAUUAUUAAUAGUACUCUGUAACAAGUAUAAUUAUUUAUUAAGAGCAGAAUAUGUUAAAGACAAUUAGCUAAUAUAAAUAUUCUAUGUUAAAGGAAACUAGUUGUACAGAGUAGUCUGUGUUAAGGGAAAUUAAUUGUUAAAAGUAUCCUAUGUUAAGAGCAAUUAGUUUUUAAAUGUAUUCUAUGCUAAGAGUAAUUAGUUUCCAAGAGUACUAUAUGUUGAAAGACAGUAA